CCUACGGGCGGCAGCAGUGGGGAAUAUUGGACAAUGGGGGGAACCCUGAUCCAGCCAUGCCGCGUGUGUGAAGGCCCUCGGGUUGUAAAGCACUUUCAGUGAGGAAGAACGCCUGGUGGUUAAUACCCAUCAGGAAAGACAUCACUCACAGAAGAAGCACCGGCUAACUCCGUGCCAGCAGCCGCGGUAAUACGGAGGGUGCGAGCGUUAAUCGGAAUUACUGGGCGUAAAGCGCGCGUAGGUGGCUUGAUAAGCCGGUUGUGAAAGCCCCGGGCUCAACCUGGGAACGGCAUCCGGAACUGUCAAGCUAGAGUGCAGGAGAGGAAGGUAGAAUUCCCGGUGUAGCGGUGAAAUGUGUAGAGAUCGGGAGGAAUACCAGUGGCGAAGGCGGCCUUCUGGACUGACACUGACACUGAGGUGCGAAAGCGUGUGUAGCAAACAGGAUUAGAUACCCGAGUAGUC
RNAcentral lists this ribosomal RNA (462 nucleotides) under Vreelandella stevensii. RNAcentral describes it as "partial 16S ribosomal RNA". It matches the Rfam family "Bacterial small subunit ribosomal RNA", at positions 338 to 795 of the family's 1533-position model. The record is from RNAcentral. Lineage: Bacteria; Pseudomonadati; Pseudomonadota; Gammaproteobacteria; Oceanospirillales; Halomonadaceae.